GAUGAACGCUGGCGGCGUGCCUAAUACAUGCAAGUCGAGCGAACGGACGAGAAGCUUGCUUCUCUGAUGUUAGCGGCGGACGGGUGAGUAACACGUGGAUAACCUACCUAUAAGACUGGGAUAACUUCGGGAAACCGUAGCUAAUACCGGAUAAUAUUUUGAACCGCAUGGUUCAAAAGUGAAAGACGGUCUUGCUGUCACUUAUAGAUGGAUCCGCGCUGCAUUAGAUAGUUGGUAAGGUAACGGCUUACCAAGGCAACGAUGCAUAGCCGACCUGAGAGGGUGAUCGGCCACACUGGAACUGAGACACGGUCCAGACUCCUACGGGAGGCAGCAGUAGGGAAUCUUCCGCAAUGGGCGAAAGCCUGACGGAGCAACGCCGCGUGAGUGAUGAAGGUCUUCGGAUCGUAAAACUCUGUUAUUAGGGAAGAACAUAUGUGUAAGUAACUGUGCACAUCUUGACGGUACCUAAUCAGAAAGCCACGGCUAACUACGU
This 496-nucleotide ribosomal RNA is filed under the name uncultured bacterium. RNAcentral describes it as "partial 16S ribosomal RNA". It matches the Rfam family "Bacterial small subunit ribosomal RNA", at positions 28 to 506 of the family's 1533-position model. The record is from RNAcentral.